This 134-nucleotide small RNA is filed under the name Citrobacter freundii. RNAcentral's name for it is "RtT sRNA". It matches the Rfam family "RtT RNA". Rfam says of the family: This family represents a bacterial cis-regulatory element known as RtT RNA. Lineage: Bacteria; Pseudomonadati; Pseudomonadota; Gammaproteobacteria; Enterobacterales; Enterobacteriaceae. The record is from RNAcentral.
GCUUUCCGGGAUUCACGAGGAUGAGAACCUCCGGGGGGCAAGGGGUUCGACUCGAGCGGAGCGAGAGAACGUUGCGUCAGCAACGGCCCGCAGGGCGAGCCACGUAGUGGCGAGUCAUCCUCUAUCACCGACCA